RNAcentral lists this ribosomal RNA (301 nucleotides) under uncultured bacterium. RNAcentral's name for it is "partial 16S ribosomal RNA". It matches the Rfam family "Bacterial small subunit ribosomal RNA", at positions 509 to 807 of the family's 1533-position model. The record is from RNAcentral.
CAGCAGCCGCGGUAAUACGUAGGUGGCAAGCGUUGUCCGGAAUUAUUGGGCGUAAAGGGCUCGCAGGCGGUUUCUUAAGUCUGAUGUGAAAGCCCCCGGCUCAACCGGGGAGGGUCAUAGGAAACUGGGAAACUUGAGUGCAGAAGAGGAGAGUGGAAUUCCACGUGUAGCGGUGAAAUGCGUAGAGAUGUGGAGGAACACCAGUGGCGAAGGCGACUCUCUGGUCUGUAACUGACGCUGAGGAGCGAAAGCGUGGGGAGCGAACAGGAUUAGAUACCCCCGUAGUCCCUGUCUCUUAUAC